Molecule: long non-coding RNA, 1469 nt
Filed under: Capsicum annuum
Lineage: Eukaryota; Viridiplantae; Streptophyta; Magnoliopsida; Solanales; Solanaceae
Description: long non-coding RNA (CANN_LNC006431)
Source: RNAcentral
AAUAAUAAAAUGUAUUGAAUAAAACAAAAGUUGUUCACUGGACUAUACAAUGAAUAAUUAGAUAUAAUAAUAAUAAUAUAAAUAUGAUCCCACAAAACAUAUUUGAAUGAAACAAAGAUUGCUUACAGACAUAAAAGUAAUACAAAAAUGGCCUUACAUAAUACAUUUCAAUACAAUAUUAACAUAAAGAAAACAUAUUUGCUUCUUCGUCAUGUGAUCAAGCUGAUCUCUUAUUGAUAUUAUACCAUAGUGUGUCGUUGAAAUGCGUUGAAUCUCUCCACUUUCAUUUUCUAGCAUAUGAUAGCGUCGGUUCGACCUCAGCAGAAAGAACAUGACUCUCUUCCAAGUUCAUAUCUAAUGAUUACAUCUAAAUUAUUAUUAAGUAAACAAAUAACUAAUUUGAAUUGAAUUUAAAUAAUAAGAUAAAUUACCUGAAGGAGAGGAGAAAAUCAUCUUAUGUUCUUCAUGCACAUAGAUAUCUGACAAAGAUAAAAAUAGCAUAAUAACUCAAAAACCAUUAACAUAUAAUUUUGACGAUUUAAAAGAAUUUAAAAUGCAUAUAGAUGAAUUAUUAGAAAAAUAGUAUAUACAAAAAAGUAAUAGUAAACACAAUAGUCCAGCAUUUAUAGUAAAUAAACAUAGUGAACAAAAAAAGAAAAAAGUAGAAUGAUUAUUGAUUAUAGAAACCUAAAUGCAAAAACUAUGACAUAUAAUUAUCCAAUACCAAAUAAGAUAUUAAAAAUAAGAUGAUAAAUUAUGUAUAUUUAGAAUAUUGGAAAAUGGAUAUGAAAAAUAUACAAUUAAUAGAAAAAUUAAUGAAAACAAAUUUAGAAGAAUAUAUGAGAACCAAAGAUAUAAAAUAUAUAGAAUACCUUAAUGAAAAUAUAGGGAAUUAAUAAGAUUAAAAGAAACAACUAAAAAAAUAUUAUGAAAAAGCAUUUAAUUAACAAAAUAUGAUCAUUUUAGAUUACUAUAUACUAUAUUUUUCUUAAAUAACAUGUUCUUCCGUCACUAUUAGCAUGGUAAUCUGGAUACUUUUCCCUUAAACAGUGCCUCUACUCUGGCUACCCCCCUAUCACGGCUUUCUUGUCUUACCGGUUUCACCUUUAGGAUGGGAUAGUUCUUAGGAAUUUUUCUCCUUUUCCACUUUGCUAAUAAACUUCUUAGCAUUCUAUUUUUCGAAUAAUUCUACUAUAAAAUAACUAACAUAAACUUAUUUUAUCAUAUCAUGAUUGUCAGAAAUUUAUGAAUUUAGCUAUUCAUAACCAUAAAUAAAUAUACCUGUUCUGGUAGAUUUGAUAAUUCUGGGCUUUGUUCAUCCAUAGCUUUUGCUUUGAAAUAUAUUUGAUUUUAUUAAAUAUUCAAAACUUUUUUGUUUACAAAGGAGAACUUUUUGCUUCAUCACAUGAAGACUUGCCCUUAACUUGCCGGAGGCUUACAUAUUUAUAGCCUAAGAAAACGCGUAAAAC